UCAUCACAUUUUAUUUAAAUUUAUCUUUGUCAUGAUGUGAAAAUUGAUGUAGAGGGAAAAGAAUUAUAAAAUUAUAUUCUUCCCUUCUUUUUGACAAGACAAAGGGAGAGAAAGAACUCACUAGCUUGUAUAUUCUAAAAUGAUGUAAAAUUUGCUAGCUUGCAUGAUACAAAAUUUGUUAGCUUGCUUGAUAUAAAACUUGCUAUCUUGUAUUCUUUUUCGAAAACUUGCUAACCUUCAU
Molecule: long non-coding RNA, 241 nt
Filed under: Musa acuminata (dwarf banana)
Lineage: Eukaryota; Viridiplantae; Streptophyta; Magnoliopsida; Zingiberales; Musaceae
Description: long non-coding RNA (MACU_LNC006622)
Source: RNAcentral